RNAcentral lists this transfer RNA (68 nucleotides) under Archips podanus. Its description in RNAcentral is "tRNA-Pro". Lineage: Eukaryota; Metazoa; Arthropoda; Insecta; Lepidoptera; Tortricidae. The record is from RNAcentral.
CAAAGAAUAGUUUAAAAAAAAAUAAUAAUUUUGGAGAUUAUUGAUAGAGAAAAAUUCUUUUUCUUUGA